GUGGAUUUAAAGACAGAUCCAGGAAAACGUGCACGCUUGGAAUGCUAUUUGGCGAUGAGGGGAGGCUUUAGCUUAAAGCUCGUAGUCAGGGGUAUACUGUCUGUGCUAUUUUCAACAGAAUUAGCCCGGUGUUACAACUAUAAUGGCCUGAAGGGAAAGAAGGGACUGAAGAACCACCCCUUUAUUUUAAGAACAGUUCAGGGAAUGCUAUUUGGCAAUGCGUGGGGGAUUCACUUUAAAGCAUAUCGUCAGGGACAAACGGUCUCUGCUAUUUUCAAAUAAAUUAGCCAGUCUUACAACUUCCAUGGUCUGAAGGGAAAGAAGGGACUCACGAACCACCCCUUUCUUUUACAAACAGUUCAGGAUGCUGCACGAAAAACUUGCCCUCAAGCUACUGAAGCAGAACUGCAGACGCAGAUCUCUAGCUGGUUAGCUGGUGCUAGGGAUUGAGAGAAUGGCAGAAGGGAAAGGGCACCUGAGCACAGACUGUUAAAGUCAGUAAAUAGUUCUGGGGUGGGGAACGAAUUGGAGGACAAGUAAAGCUGUACAAUUUUUGCAUAUUUAAAAUUAGUUUUUUAAUUAACAAUUUCAAUAAACAUCAGAAAACGACAAAUCAUGUUUGUUUUUUGUAACAUUUUGUUUGGCAUUUAUAGGGUUAUUUUGAUGCAUUUGAUAUUAUUGGUUUUUCUAGGAAUUUUGGCAUAUCCUGAUUUAAAAACAACGUAAAUCAGAAUAUGCCAAAAUACCUAAAAUUACCAAUAAUAGCUGGAAAUCUAGGUAUCUAGGUUCACAUGGGCUUCCCAUAUAGGAAGCCCAUCUCAGCCCACGGUCGGACCUGUUUGCGCUUUCGGCGGUUGGGCCGAUAUAGGCUUCCCAUAUGGUCAUAAGAUAGCUCAUAUGGGUCCUAUAUGGGACACACAUGGGUCCUAUAUGGCCUCUCCUCCAAAUGCUACUAGGGACAUAAUCUGCAUUCAUGCUUCUGCACUUGUAUACAAACAUACACCCUCAUAUCUUUUCUUCAUAAUUUUGGGAA
Molecule: long non-coding RNA, 1033 nt
Organism: Pomacea canaliculata
Lineage: Eukaryota; Metazoa; Mollusca; Gastropoda; Architaenioglossa; Ampullariidae
Exons: 4
Source: RefSeq, a predicted model, not a curated record